Molecule: long non-coding RNA, 6576 nt
Filed under: Cucumis sativus (cucumber)
Lineage: Eukaryota; Viridiplantae; Streptophyta; Magnoliopsida; Cucurbitales; Cucurbitaceae
Description: long non-coding RNA (CSAT_LNC000662)
Source: RNAcentral
GUAUCUCAAACUUCUACACUUAUACCCAAGAUCCUACAUACUUUCCACGAUUCUAUCCUCGGGGGACAUUCUGGAUUUUUAAGAACUUACGAGAGGAUCAGUGGAGAACUAUAUUGGAGGGGUAUGAAGGCUGAAAUAAAGAAAUAUGUGGAACAAUGCGAGAUCUGCCAGAGAAACAAAUACGAAGCAACCAAACCAGCUGGGGUACUUCAACCAAUUCCAAUUCCUGACAGAAUCUUAGAAGAUUGGACCAUGGACUUUAUUGAGGGGUUGCCACUAGCUGGAGGGGUUAAUGUGAUCAUGGUGGUAGUUGAUCGGCUGAGUAAGUAUUCUUACUUUAUAUCAUUGAGACAUCCGUUUUCAGCCAAGCAAGUUGCUUCCAUAUUCAUCGACAGAAUAGUAAGCAAGCACGGCAUUCCUAAGUCGAUUAUCACAGAUCGGGAUAAAAUCUUUCUUAGUAAUUUUUGGAAGGAACUGUUUGCAACCAUGGGAACUAUUCUAAAGAGGAGUACCGCGUUUCACCCACAAACUGAUGGGCAGACAGAAAGGGUAAAUAGAUGUCUCGAAACUUAUCUGCGAUGCUUCUGUAAUGAACAACCAAAAAAAUGGGAUAGACUGAUUCCAUGGGCAGAAUUGUGGUAUAAUACCACCUUCCAUGCAUCCACCAAAAUGACCCCUUUCAGGCGGUAUACCGCAGACCGCCUCCUCCCCUGUUAUCCUAUGGUUACAAGAAAACUCCUAAUAAUGAGGUUGACACGCUGCUGAAGGAACGUGACUUAGCCAUCAAUGCCUUAAAAGAACACCUGUGUGUAGCCUAGAACAGGAUGAUGAAAAUGGCUGAUCGAAAUAGAAGAGAGUUAAAAUUUAAGGUAGGAGAUGAAGUCUACUUGAAAUUGAGACCUUACCGGCAACGCUCCUUGGCUCGGAAGAAGUGUGAAAAGUUAGCACCUAAAUAUUACGGACCCUACAAAAUUACUGAAGAAAUAGGAGCAGUUGCGUACAGAUUGAUGUUACCGCCGGAAGCCAGUAUCCACAAUGUGUUCCAUAUUUCUCAGUUAAAACUGAAACUGGGUAGUCAACAAGCUGUUCAACACCAGCAACCUAGGCUAACGGAAGAGUUUGAGUUACAAUUAUGGCCGGAAACAGUGUUGGGAGUCCGUUGGAAUCGGGAAUUGGGAGGAAAUGAAUGGUUAAUUAAGUGGAAAGGGCUGCCGGACAGUGAAACAACUUGGGAAUCUGUUUUCCAAAUGAACCAACAAUUCCCUGACUUGCACCUUGAGGACAAGGUGAACCUGGAACCGAGGGGUAUUGUAAGGCCCCCUAUUAUCCAUACAUACAAAAGGAGGGGUAAAAACGUAAAAGCUCACGCAGCAGAAAAGGGGAGAAUAUUAGGAAAAGAACAUGAGAGUGGGGCCCACGGGGAAGAAUGAGAAAAGAGCUAUAAAUAAGGCCUUAUCGGGAUUGGGGGCUAGGUUAACUUUUUGUCUUCAUUUGGUCUGUAGAGGCUGCUAGGUCUAGGAAGGACUACUAUCUUUUCCUGGGGAGGUUUGACAUAUUUCCAUCUUUAUUGCUUUCUUUUAUAUUUCCUUCUACUGUAUCUCUUGGCAUUUAUAUAAAAUAAAGAUCUACAGAGUGCUGUCUCUGUUUGCCAACUGUUUGGGUAAUUUAGUAUUUUAUUUGUGGAGUCUCUACAACUGGUAUCAGAGCCCAAACGCUGGGGGUGGUGACGCGGCUGAUGGCGCAAAGGCAAAUAGAAGAAAGAAUAGAUGGAACAGAGAAAGAAAUACUGAGCUUGAAGGAAAUGAUUCUGGAAACGAAGAAAAUCCAUGGAUAGACUGGCAUGAAAUGAAAGAAAACAGCAGCUACAAAAGGCGAGAUGAAUCCGGAACUUCUGAUGGAUCAGUCAUGAAGUUAAAAGGAAAAUGGGAAGAAGCCGACAAUCCAGGGAAAACAAUGUAGUAACUGUCGACCGAAGCAAAUAUAAGAAACUGGAAAUGCCGAUUUUCACCGGGGAAAAUCCUGAGUCAUGGGUGUUUAGAGCUGAGCAUUUUUUCGAAAUUAAUAGCCUACCGGAAGCAGAAAAAGUGAAAGUAGCAGUGGUUAGUUUCGGACAAGAUGAAAUCGAUUGGUACCGUUGGAGUAACCAUAGAAAGAAGGUGGAAGGAUGGGAAGAUUUGAAGGUAAGGAUGUUUGAAUUUUUUCAAGAUUCUGGGCAGAAGAGCUUAGGUGCAAGGCUGAUUCGAAUAGAACAAGAUGGAUCCUAUAAUGAUUAUGUCAAGAAAUUCGUACAAUAUUCUGCACCACUACCGCACAUGGCUGAAAGCGUGCUCUUAGAUGCAUUCGUGACAGGUCUAGAACCGGCUCUUCAAGCAGAAGUUAUUAGUAGACAUCCUCAAACCUUAGAGGAAUGUAUGAAGGAGGCACAACUGGUAAGUGGCAGAAACCUAGCCUUGAAAUUAGCCAAGGCAGAAUGGGUAAACAGUGUGACUAGGGAAGGAGGAGGCUCAAGCAAGGGACAAAGCAGUCAAGAUAAAAGUUCACCAAAGAAGACUGAGUUCCCCAUGAAGCAAGUCACUAUUCCCAUUAAAGGAAACUACCAGAAAAAUGAACCUCCAGUUAAAAGACUCUUGGACACGGAAUUCAGAGCAAGAUUGGACAAGGGUUUGUGUUUUAGAUGCAAUGAGAAGUACUCACCGCGGACACCGAUGCAAGAUGAGAGAGAAAAGGGAAUUAAUGUUAUUUAUACUUAACGAAGAAGAGAGUGGUGGGGAGGAAGUCAAAAUGGAAGAGACCGAAGAAGUAAUGGAGCUGAACCAGUUAGUUGUUGCUGAAACCACCGAAAUUGAAUUGAAGACACUCACGGGGUUAACAUCCAAAGGGACAAUGAAACUGAAGGGGCAUGUAAAAGGAAGGGAGGUGGUGAUUCUCAUCGACAGUGGAGCUACGAACAACUUCAUCCAUGAAGCAGUGGCAAUGGAAGGAGGGUUGAACAUUGAACCCGGUACACAAUUUGGAGUGACUAUUGGAGACGGACCCGCUGUAGAGGGAAAGGUAUUUGCAGAAAGGUGGAACUGAGAUUGAAAGAAAUGACAGUUAUAACUGAUUUUCUAGUGGUGGAACUAGGAAAUAUUGACGUGAUUUUAGGGAUGCAAUGGCUAGAUACCACCGGCACAAUGAAGGUACAUUGGCCAUCAUUAACCAUGACCUUUUGGGCAAAAGACAAGCAAAUCGUGUUAAGAGGAGAUCCAUCCUUAGUGAAAGCUGAAUGUUCUUUGAAGACAUUGGAAAAAACGUGGGAUAUAGAAGAUCAAGGCUUCCUCUUAGAAUUCCAGAAUUAUGAGAUGGAAGUAGAGAAUGAAUAUGAACUGGGGACAAGACUAAAAGGAGAUGAGGAGGAAAUAUCUAUGAUCCGAUCCCUGCUCAAGUAUUAUGCGGAGAUAUUUGAGACACCGAAGAAAUUACCUCCAAAAAGAGCUAUUGAUCACCGAAUAUUAACCCUACCUGACCAUAAACCUAUCAACGUAAGACCUUACAAAUACGGUCAUGUGCAGAAAGAAGAAAUAGAAAAACUGGUGGUCGAGAUGCUUCAAGCAGGGGUUAUUCGCCCUAGUCAUAGCCCUUACUCCAGCCCGGUGUUGUUAGUGAAGAAAAAAGAUGGUGGAUGGAGAUUUUGUGUCGAUUACCGCAAGUUAAAUCAGGCGACAGUAUCGGAUAAGUUCCCAAUUCCUGUGAUAGAGGAAUUAUUAGAUGAGCUGAAUGGGCAACGGUUUUCUCGAAAUUAGAUCUGAAAUCUGGUUAUCACCAGAUUAGAAUGAAAGAGGAAGAUGUGGAGAAAACUGCGUUCCGCACACAUGAAGGGCACUAUGAGUUUCUAGUAAUGCCGUUUGGUCUCACGAAUGCUCUGGCAACCUUCCAAUCUUUGAUGAACCAGGUAUUUAAACCUUUCCUUCGGCGCUGUGUUUUGGUUUCUUUGAUGAUAUACUGGUUUAUAGUGCGGAUAUAGAUGAACACGCAAAGCAUUUGGGCAUGGUAUUCAAUGUUUUGAAGGAUAACCAGCUGUUUGCUAACAAAAAAAAAUGCGUUAUAGCCCAUUCUCAAAUACAGUACUUGGGACAUAGGAUAUCCAAAAGAGGAGUUGAGGCAGAUGAGGAUAAGAUCAAGAAGAUGAUUAAUUGGCCACCACCAACGAAUAUAUCUGGUCUGCGGGGCUUCUUAGGACUGACAGGAUAUUAUAGGAGGUUUGUCAAGGGUUAUGGAGAGAUCGCUGCACCGCUAACCAAGUUAUUACAGAAGAAUGCUUUUAAGUGGAAUGAAGAAGCAAAUACUGCCUUCGAAAAUUUGAAGCUAGCAAUGACUACUCUACCAGUGUUGGCAUUACCAGAUUGGAACAUUCCCUUUAUUAUCGAAACUGAUGCAUCUGGCGUAGGGUUAGGAGCGGUGAUCUCUCAAAAUGGCCACCCGAUUGCCUUUUUCAGUCAGAAGUUAUCCACAAGGGCUCAAAACAAAUCCAUCUAUGAAAGAGAGUUGAUGGCUGUAGUUCUAUCAGUUCAAAAAUGGAGGCAUUAUUUGCUGGGCAGGAAGUUCACCAUACUUUCAGAUCAAAAGGCUCUUAAAUUCUUGCUUGAACAGAGAGAGGUACAGCCCCAAUUCCAGAAAUGGUUGACAAAGCUCCUUGGAUAUGAUUUCGAGAUUUUAUAUCAACCCGGACAUCAGAACAAGGCAGCGGACGCCCUAUCUAGAAUGGAGCAACCGGUGGAGCUGCACAGCUUGACAACUACUGGAAUCAUUGAUGUGAAACUAAUCGAGCAGGAAGUUGAGAAUGAUGCUGAACUUAAGAAAAUUAUGGAAAAUCUGAAGAAAAAUGCAGAAGAAGGAAGCAAGUUUCAAGUGGAAAAAGGAAGAUUGCUCUAUAAGGGGAGAAUGGUAGUAUCUCAAACUUCUACACUUAUACCCAAGAUCCUACAUACUUUCCACGAUUCUAUCCUCGGGGGACAUUCUGGAUUUUUAAGAACUUACAAGAGGAUCAGUGGAGAACUAUAUUGGAGGGGUAUGAAGGCUGAAAUAAAGAAAUAUGUGGAACAAUGAGAUCUGCCAGAGAAACAAAUACGAAGCAACCAAACCAGCUGGGGUACUUCAACCAAUUCCAAUUCCUGACAGAAUCUUAGAAGAUUGGACCAUGGACUUUAUUGAGGGGUUGCCACUAGCUGGAGGGGUUAAUGUGAUCAUGGUGGUAGUUGAUCGGCUGAGUAAGUAUUCUUACUUUAUAUCAUUGAGACAUCCGUUUUCAGCCAAGCAAGUUGCUUCCAUAUUCAUCGACAGAAUAGUAAGCAAGCACGGCAUUCCUAAGUCGAUUAUCACAGAUCGGGAUAAAAUCUUUCUUAGUAAUUUUUGGAAGGAACUGUUUGCAACCAUGGGAACUAUUCUAAAGAGGAGUACCGCGUUUCACCCACAAACUGAUGGGCAGACAGAAAGGGUAAAUAGAUGUCUCGAAACUUAUCUGCGAUGCUUCUGUAAUGAACAACCAAAAAAAUGGGAUAGACUGAUUCCAUGGGCAGAAUUGUGGUAUAAUACCACCUUCCAUGCAUCCACCAAAAUGACCCCUUUCAGACGGUAUACCGCAGACCGCCUCCUCCCCUGUUAUCCUAUGGUUACAAGAAAACUCCUAAUAAUGAGGUUGACACGCUGCUGAAGGAACGUGACUUAGCCAUCAAUGCCUUAAAAGAACACCUGUGUGUAGCCUAGAACAGGAUGAAGAAAAUGGCUGAUCGAAAUAGAAGAGAGUUAAAAUUUAAGGUAGGAGAUGAAGUCUACUUGAAAUUGAGACCUUACCGGCAACGCUCCUUGGCUCGGAAGAAGUGUGAAAAGUUAGCACCUAAAUAUUACGGACCCUACAAAAUUACUGAAGAAAUAGGAGCAGUUGCGUACAGAUUGAUGUUACCGCCGGAAGCCAGUAUCCACAAUGUGUUCCAUAUUUCUCAGUUAAAACUGAAACUGGGUAGUCAACAAGCUGUUCAACACCAGCAACCUAGGCUAACGGAAGAGUUUGAGUUACAAUUAUGGCCGGAAACAGUGUUGGGAGUCCGUUGGAAUCGGGAAUUGGGAGGAAAUGAAUGGUUAAUUAAGUGGAAAGGGCUGCCGGACAGUGAAACAACUUGGGAAUCUGUUUUCCAAAUGAACCAACAAUUCCCUGACUUUCACCUUGAGGACAAGGUGAACCUGGAACCGAGGGGUAUUGUAAGGCCCCCUAUUAUCCAUACAUACAAAAGGAGGGGUAAAAACGUAAAAGCUCACGCAGCAGAAAAGGGGAGAAUAUUAGGAAAAGAACAUGAGAGUGGGGCCCACGGGGAAGAAUGAGAAAAGAGCUAUAAAUAAGGCCUUAUCGGGAUUGGGGGCUAGGUUAACUUUUUGUCUUCAUUUGGUCUGUAGAGGCUGCUAGGUCUAGGAAGGACUACUAUCUUUUCCUGGGGAGGUUUGACAUGAUAUUAUCAUCUUUAUUGCUUUCUUUAUAUUUCCUUCUACUGUAUCUUUGGCAUUUAUAUAUAAAUAAAGAUCUACAGAGUGUUGUCUCUGUUUGCC